GGAGUUGGCCAGACAAUCGCUGCAGGAAACUACAGAGGAAAGUCCGGGCUCCUUCGGACAGGGCGCCAGGUAACGCCUGGGGGGCGUGAGCCCAUGGAAAGUGCCACAGAAAAUAUACCGCCAGCCUCGGUUGGUAAGGGUGAAAAGGUGCGGUAAGAGCGCACCGCGCGACUGGUAACAGCUCGCGGCACGGUAAACCCCGCCCGGAGCAAGACCAAAUAGGGGAGUAGGGCUUCGGCCCGCCGUCGGUUCCGAACGGACUCCCGGGUAGGUUGCUAGAGGUAGCCGGUGACGGCUAUCCCAGAUGAAUGGUUGUCGAUGACAGAACCCGGCUUAUUGCCGACUCCGGCU
Molecule: RNase P RNA, 351 nt
Filed under: Gammaproteobacteria bacterium
Lineage: Bacteria; Pseudomonadati; Pseudomonadota; Gammaproteobacteria
Description: RNase P RNA component class A
Rfam family: Bacterial RNase P class A
About the family: Ribonuclease P (RNase P) is a ubiquitous endoribonuclease, found in archaea, bacteria and eukarya as well as chloroplasts and mitochondria. Its best characterised activity is the generation of mature 5'-ends of tRNAs by cleaving the 5'-leader elements of precursor-tRNAs.
Source: RNAcentral